This 253-nucleotide ribosomal RNA is filed under the name uncultured bacterium. RNAcentral's name for it is "partial 16S ribosomal RNA". It matches the Rfam family "Bacterial small subunit ribosomal RNA", at positions 524 to 776 of the family's 1533-position model. The record is from RNAcentral.
UACGGAGGUUGCAAGCGUUAUCCGGAAUGAUUGGGCGUAAAGCGUCCGCAGGUGGCAGUUCAAGUCUGCUGUCAAAGACCGGGGCUUAACUUCGGAAAGGCAGUGGAAACUGAACAGCUAGAGUAUGGUAGGGGCAGAGGGAAUUCCUGGUGUAGCGGUGAAAUGCGUAGAGAUCAGGAAGAACACCAGUGGCGAAGGCGCUCUGCUAGGCCGUAACUGACACUGAGGGACGAAAGCUAGGGGAGCGAAUGGG